Molecule: long non-coding RNA, 2450 nt
Organism: Equus caballus (horse)
Lineage: Eukaryota; Metazoa; Chordata; Mammalia; Perissodactyla; Equidae
Source: Ensembl
AAAAAAAUCUCUUUAAAAAAAAAAAAAAAAAAAAAAGAAUUACAAGCCUCAGUCAAAAGAAAGGUAUUUAUUCCUCAAUCCAAAGAGUUAUCUGAAAGUUGUCUCUGCUCCCUAGUCCUUCAUAGCUAGGUCAUUCUACAUCUUUUCCCUUCCUUUUGUUCUUGAUUAUUCCACAUUAGUUCCCUGCACAGAGGUCCAUUGCUGUCUUUUAUUUGCCCGUAUCCAGAGCUGGGCUGUGACGGGCACCCCUAAAGUACAGGUGACUGGCUAUAGAACUCAGAAAAGGAAGAAAAGGAAAAGAGACAAAAUAAUUUCAGAAAUAAACACCAAAUUAAAAGAAACUCAAGUUAUAGAAAUAAGAAAAACAAACAAAAAGAAAGAAAAAUGUAGAAAAAGAUUAAAAAGCACUACAGAGAAAAUGACAUGUUUUAGAAGAAUACAAAGAGGACUAUAUGUGUGUGUAUAAAUGUGUGGAUAUAAAUCUAUAUAUACACAUAAUUCACCCAAAUACUAAGAGAAAUCAAAACAAUGAACCAAAAUAAUUUUUUUUUGAGGAAGAUUAGCCGUGAGCUAACAUCUGCCAUCAAUCCUCCUCUUUUUGCUGAGGAAGACUGGCCCUGAGCUAACAUCCAUGCCCAUCUUCCUCUGCUUUACAUGUGGGACACCUACCACAGCGUGGCUUGACAAGCAGUGCAUAGGUCCGCACCUGGGAUCCUGCGAACCCCAGGCCACCGAAGCGGAAGGUGGGAACUUUGCUGUGCCACUGGGCUGGCCCCCAAAAUAAAUAUUUUUAAACAUAAUUCAAGAAUAAUAACUGUUGGACUUUGUGGCUGCUGAUCUUGCCUUCUCCCCUUGGGUUUGGAGCCAGGGCUGACCUUGGACAAAGUAUUAAGUAGAUUAACUUUGUUCUCAGCCCUACACAUCCCUUUUCACACUUGGGCAACAGCACUGCAUUAGACUACUGGGGACUGAAUCUCGAACUACACUUACUAGUUGUGUGACCUUGAGCAGAUGACGUAAAAUCUCUAAACCUCAGUUUUCUGAUCUCAUAAAUGCUGGUACUAUCUCAAAAGGUGGUUGUGAAGCUUCAGUAACAUAAUACAUAUGAAUGAUUGGCAUACUGUCAUCUCUCAAUAUAUUUUAACUUUUAUUAGUAGUAGUAUCAGUAUUAUGAAGAUGCAAAUGACUGACAAGGCAUGGUUGUGCACCUCUUGGGCUGUGAGAAGCCUGGUGUGUAGGACGCUGGUGUGAACUCAGGGAGAGAGAGACCUGUGACAACAGAGCACGCGCACCUCAACAUGGUUCUCUUUUCUCUACUCACCAAUGUAUGUAGAACAGCUCUGCUGAAACAGCUCAUUUCUUUGUGAAAACAACGUUUUAAAAAGGUUAUCAGCUGGUGCCAGCGACACAGAUAAAGGAAAAGGAAUGAGCUCCAAGAAAGUGAUGGUUCCUAGCCAGAAAACUGUCAGAAGUUUGGGAUAAAUGACAAGUGGAACGUUAAGCUGGGCAGUGCCCAAGACUGAGGAUGUGAAUGAGUCCACCACACAUAUUCUGUGGAGAAAGGAAAACACAGUUUGUGAAACCGUUUGAGUAAGUCCUCCAGAUAGCACAAAAUUGCUUAUUAAGUGAGACACAAAACUGUAGUGAAAGUUGGAAACAAAAGACUGGUGUGAGACUGUGUGCAGGAAGUGUGAGUCUUGGUGGAGCUGAGACAUGAGAGAAGUGAGGGACCUGUCUGAACGUUCCAUGUUUGCAGACUGAGGGACUUGUGUAAGGUGUCAGGUAUGAUCGUGUCCAAAGUCAAGGGGCGGUCUUACUUUGUUGGCUUGUGUCUGCCUCUGCAUUGGCCGACGGGCUGCUUGAGGGAGGGGUUUGGAGCAUCACUGUUCUCUCUCCAGAAUCAGCCCUGUGCCUGGCAAGUGGUAGGUGUUGAAUAAGUGUUCAGUGAGUGAGCAAUUGAGUGAGCCCAUCUCAGGAACCAGGUUCCAAGGACUGAGCAGGACUAGCAUAUGGGAAGCUGUAUCAGGACACUCAACUAUGACCACAGAGUUUCCGCCUAGGGACGGAAUGAGUAGAAGCAUCUGGGGUGAGGCAAGCCCUUGCUGAGACAUUCCAGCCGAGAAGUUUGGAGAUCUGCAGAGACCUUGAAUCCAGCAUUGCAAAAGCUUCCUGCUUCCAUUGAGGAAGAUGAGAAAGAAGAAGUAAGUUGCCAUGAAUCCUACAGUGGCAAGGACAUAAAUUCAACAGCCUGAGAGAGUUUGGAAGCCACCCUUCCCCAGUCAAGCCUCUGAUGAGAACCCAGCCCUGGCCAAUAACUUGACCACAGCCUUGUUAUACUCUGAACAGAGGACCCAGCUAAGCUGUGUCCAGACUCCUGACCCCCAGGAACUGUGAGAUAAUAAAUGUGGCUGUUGUUUUAAGUCGCUAAGUUUGUGGCAAUUUAAUAUGUA